RNAcentral lists this ribosomal RNA (1041 nucleotides) under Clavicipitaceae sp. DIS 341lii. RNAcentral describes it as "LSU rRNA". It matches the Rfam family "Eukaryotic large subunit ribosomal RNA", at positions 71 to 1143 of the family's 3401-position model. Lineage: Eukaryota; Fungi; Ascomycota; Sordariomycetes; Hypocreales; Clavicipitaceae. The record is from RNAcentral.
GGGAUUGCCCCAGUAACGGCGAGUGAAGCGGCAACAGCUCAAAUUUGAAAUCUGGCCCCCAGGGCCCGAGUUGUAAUUUGCAGAGGAUGCUUUUGGCGCGGUGCCUUCCGAGUUCCCUGGAACGGGACGCCAUAGAGGGUGAGAGCCCCGUCUGGUCGGACACCAAGCCAGUGUAAAGCUCCUUCGACGAGUCGAGUAGUUUGGGAAUGCUGCUCUAAAUGGGAGGUAUAUGUCUUCUAAAGCUAAAUACCGGCCAGAGACCGAUAGCGCACAAGUAGAGUGAUCGAAAGAUGAAAAGCACUUUGAAAAGAGGGUUAAACAGUACGUGAAAUUGUUGAAAGGGAAGCGUUUGUGACCAGACUUGGGCCCGGUGAAUCAUCCAGCGUUCUCGCUGGUGCACUUCGCCGGGCCCAGGCCAGCAUCAGUUCGCCGCGGGGGAUAAAAGCUUCGGGAACGUGGCUCCCUCGGGAGUGUUAUAGCCCGUUGCAUAAUACCCUGCGGCGGACUGAGGUUCGCGCUCCGCAAGGAUGCUGGCGUAAUGGUCAUCAGCGACCCGUCUUGAAACACGGACCAAGGAGUCGUCUUCGUAUGCGAGUGUUCGGGUGUCAAACCCCUACGCGUAAUGAAAGUGAACGCAGGUGAGAGCUUCGGCGCAUCAUCGACCGAUCCUGAUGUUCUCGGAUGGAUUUGAGUAAGAGCAUACGGGGCCGGACCCGAAAGAAGGUGAACUAUGCCUGUAUAGGGUGAAGCCAGAGGAAACUCUGGUGGAGGCUCGCAGCGGUUCUGACGUGCAAAUCGAUCGUCAAAUAUGGGCAUGGGGGCGAAAGACUAAUCGAACCUUCUAGUAGCUGGUUUCCGCCGAAGUUUCCCUCAGGAUAGCAGUGUUGAACUCAGUUUUAUGAGGUAAAGCGAAUGAUUAGGGACCCGGGGGCGCUCUUUAGCCUUCAUCCAUUCUCAAACUUUAAAUAUGUAAGAAGCCCUUGUUGCUUAAUUGAACGUGGGCAUUCGAAUGUAUCAACACUAGUGGGCCAUUUUUGGUAA